AAGUAUAUGCAUAUUUUAUAUGUAGAAACUGCGAACGGCUCAUUAAAACAGUUAUAAUCUACUUGACAUUUUUUCUAUAAGGAUAACUACGGAAAAGCUGUAGCUAAUACUUGCUUUCAGCACUCUUGAUUAAGUUCUUGAGUGUGUACUUGUUAAGCCUUUUAAGAAAAAAGUUAUUAACUUAAGGAAUUAUAACAAAGAAGCAACACGUAAAUGGAUUUUCCAUUUUUUAGUGUGUAUCAAUCGAGUUUCUGACCUAUCAGCUUUUGAUGUUAGGGUAUUGGCCUAACAUGGCUAUGACGGGUAACGGGGAAUUAGAGUUCGAUUCCGGAGAGGGAGCCUGAGAAAUAGCUACCACAUCUAAGGAAGGCAGCAGGCGCGUAAAUUACCCAAUUCUAAAGAAGAGAGGUAGUGACAAGAAAUAACAAUACAAGGCCAAUCUGGCUUUGUAAUUGGAAUGAUGGGAAUUUAAAACCUUCCCAAAACUCAAUUGGAGGGCAAGUCUGGUGCCAGCAGCCGCGGUAAUUCCAGCUCCAAUAGCGUAUAUUAAAAUUGUUGCAGUUAAAACGCUCGUAGUUGAAUUUCAAAGAAUCGAUAUUUUAAGUAGCACUUUGUAGAUUAAUCCACAUAACUGAUACUACGUAUCGACUUUGUGGUAUUUUUCUACUUAUGUGUUCUUUUAAUUAAAAUGAUUCUUUUUAAGAUCUUUCUUUUUUGCUUCGGCAUUUUAGGAGAUCUUGUUACUUUGAGUAAAUUAGAGUGUUCAAAGCAAACAGAUUAUAGCAUCUUUAUGCGUUUGAAUACUACAGCAUGGAAUAACAAAAUUGAACAAGUCAGAAUUUUGUUCUUUUUUCUUAUUUUGGCUUAGUUACGAUUAAUAGGAGUAGCUUGGGGGCAUUUGUAUUCAGAUGUCAGAGGUGAAAUUCUUAGAUUUUCUGGAGACAAACAACUGCGAAAGCAUUUGCCUAAAAUACUUCCAUUAAUCAAGAACGAAAGUUAAGGGAGUGAAGACGAUCAGAUACCGUCGUAAUCUUAACCAUAAACUAUGCCGACUAGGCUUUGGAUGAAAGAUUUUAAAAUAAGAGUUUUUUCUCUGAGGAGUUAAAACUCUUAGAUUGCUUCCUUCAGUGCCUUAUGAGAAAUCAAAGUCUUUGGGUUCUGGGGCGAGUAUUCGCGCAAGCGAGAAAGUUAAAAGAAUUGACGGAAGGGCACCACCAGGCGUGGAGCUUGCGGCUUAAUUUGACUCAACACGGGAAAACUCACUAGUUUAAGACAAGAGUAGGAUUGACAGAUUAAUAGCUCUUUCUUGAUUUCUUGGAUGGUGAUGCAUGGCCGUUUUUAGUUCGUGAAUAUGAUUUGUCUGGUUAAUUCCGAUAACGAACGAGAUCUUAACCUGCUAAUUAGCGGCAAAUACGAUAUAUUCUUAUGUGGAAUUGAAUAUAGUUGAUUUGCUUAUUUUGAAGAAAAUAUUGGGAUACGUAAAUGUAUCCCUUUCCCUUUUCUACUUAAUUUGCUUAUCAUACUAUUUCUUUUUUGGGUAAGAAUGUAUUUGCUUGAUUGUAAAGCUUCUUAGAGGAACGAUGUGUGUCUAACACAAG
This 1598-nucleotide ribosomal RNA is filed under the name Plasmodium inui. Its description in RNAcentral is "SSU rRNA". It matches the Rfam family "Eukaryotic small subunit ribosomal RNA", at positions 61 to 1439 of the family's 1831-position model. Lineage: Eukaryota; Apicomplexa; Aconoidasida; Haemosporida; Plasmodiidae. The record is from RNAcentral.